AUUGAACGCUGGCGGCAGGCCUAACACAUGCAAGUCGAGCGGACGAAGGUAGCUUGCUCCUGGAUUCAGCUGCGGACGGGUGAGUAAUGCCUAGGAAUCUGCCUGGUAGUGGGGGAUAACGUCCGUACACGGGCUCUAAUACCGCAUACGUCCUGAGGGAGAAAGUGGGGGAUCUUCGGACCUCACGCUAUCAGAUGAGCCUAGGUCGGAUUAGCUAGUUGGUGGGGUAAAUGCCUACCAAGGCGACGAUCCGUAACUGGUCUGAGAGGAUGAUCAGUCAGACUGGAACUGAGAAACGGUCCAGACUCCUACGGGAGGCAGCAGUGGGGAAUAUUGGACGAUGGGCGAAAGCCUGAUCCAGCCAUGCCGCGUGUGUGAAGAAGGUCUUCGGAUUGUAAAGCACUUUAAGUUGGGAGGAAGGGAAGUAAGUUAAUACCUUGCUGUUUUGACGUUACCAACAGAAUAAGCACCGGCUAACUUCGUG
RNAcentral lists this ribosomal RNA (484 nucleotides) under uncultured bacterium. RNAcentral's name for it is "partial 16S ribosomal RNA". It matches the Rfam family "Bacterial small subunit ribosomal RNA", at positions 30 to 507 of the family's 1533-position model. The record is from RNAcentral.